RNAcentral lists this small RNA (147 nucleotides) under Arabidopsis thaliana (thale cress). RNAcentral describes it as "ATSL276020". Lineage: Eukaryota; Viridiplantae; Streptophyta; Magnoliopsida; Brassicales; Brassicaceae. The record is from RNAcentral.
UAAAUUAACGUACGUUAAAAACUAAGAAAAGAAAGUAAAAGAUCUUGUGGUGAGCAAGACGAAAGCUUGUCUGUUAUAGCUUACUACGAAAGUUUAAGCUAUUUGCUUGUUGUUUGAGUCUAUGCUUAUGAAAUGGAAAUUGUGUAU